Molecule: long non-coding RNA, 253 nt
Filed under: Lathyrus oleraceus (garden pea)
Lineage: Eukaryota; Viridiplantae; Streptophyta; Magnoliopsida; Fabales; Fabaceae
Description: Pisum sativum (pea) long non-coding RNA (PSAT_LNC033273)
Source: RNAcentral
UCGGCCAAAACACAUCCUUACCCUGUGCAGAGUCAUGUUAAUACAUUUAAAACUGUGUUGAAAAGCUAAGUUUGGGGUAAAAACCCCAAAAGAUCCCAAAGCCCAAGAAAGUGAAAAACAAAAAAAGAAAAAAAAGUGAAAUAUGAAAUCAUCGAGAGAAAAGAAAAAAGAAAAAAGAAAAAAAAAGUAUAACUCGAAGAUUCAAAAGAAGCACGAAAAAGGGCACUCGGUGGAAAAAUAGAAAAAAAGAGAA